GACGAACGCCGGCGGCGUGCAUAAUACAUGCAAGUAGAACGCUGAAGGAGGAGCUUGCUUCUCAGGAUGAGUUGCGAACGGGUGAGUAACGAGUAGGUAACCUGCCUGGUAGCGGGGGAUAACUAUUGGAAACGAUAGCUAAUACCGCAUAAGAGUAGAUGUUGCAUGACAUUUGCUUAAAAGGUGCAAUUGCAUCACUACCAGAUGGACCUGCGUUGUAUUAGCUAGUUGGUGGGGUAACGGCUCACCAAGGCGACGAUACAUAGCCGACCUGAGAGGGUGAUCGGCCACACUGGGACUGAGACACGGCCCAGACUCCUACGGGAGGCAGCAGUAGGGAAUCUUCGGCAAUGGACGGAAGUCUGACCGAGCAACGCCGCGUGAGUGAAGAAGGUUUUCGGAUCGUAAAGCUCUGUUGUAAGAGAAGAACGAGUGUGAGAGUGGAAAGUUCACACUGUGACGGUAUCUUACCAGAAAGGGACGGCUAACUACGUGCCAGCAGCCGCGGUAAUACGUAGGUCCCGAGCGUUGUCCGGAUUUAUUGGGCGUAAAGCGAGCGCAGGCGGUUAGAUAAGUCUGAAGUUAAAGGCUGUGGCUUAACCAUAGUACGCUUUGGAAACUGUUUAACUUGAGUGCAAGAGGGGAGAGUGGAAUUCCAUGUGUAGCGGUGAAAUGCGUAGAUAUAUGGAGGAACACCGGUGGCGAAAGCGGCUCUCUGGCUUGUAACUGACGCUGAGGCUCGAAAGCGUGGGGAGCAAACAGG
Molecule: ribosomal RNA, 763 nt
Filed under: uncultured Streptococcus sp.
Lineage: Bacteria; Bacillati; Bacillota; Bacilli; Lactobacillales; Streptococcaceae
Description: bacterial SSU rRNA
Rfam family: Bacterial small subunit ribosomal RNA
Source: RNAcentral